UACGUAGGUGGCAAGCGUUGUCCGGAUUUAUUGGGCGUAAAGCGAGCGCAGGCGGUUCUUUAAGUCUGAUGUGAAAGCCCCCGGCUCAACCGGGGAGGGUCAUUGGAAACUGGAGAACUUGAGUGCAGAAGAGGAGAGUGGAAUUCCACGUGUAGCGGUGAAAUGCGUAGAUAUGUGGAGGAACACCAGUGGCGAAGGCGACUCUCUGGUCUGUAACUGACGCUGAGGCUCGAAAGCGUGGGGAGCGAACAGG
This 253-nucleotide ribosomal RNA is filed under the name uncultured microorganism. Its description in RNAcentral is "partial 16S ribosomal RNA". It matches the Rfam family "Bacterial small subunit ribosomal RNA", at positions 524 to 776 of the family's 1533-position model. The record is from RNAcentral.